UUAUAGUGACACUUCAUCAGUUUAAGAUCAUCUUUUCUAUGAUUGUGUGUGUUUCAGCAGUGUGUUUCUGAAGAGGACAGAGUAACAGCAGAACGAGAAACUCCACGUGAGCCGACAGCUGUAACAGGAGACUGUGCCGCUCAGAUCUGAUCGUUCCCUAAUUCAGAAACUCGGCCGUUAGUGAAGCGAGAGCCGCCGAAGUGCAUUGUGGGAGUGUAAAGGCCGC
This 226-nucleotide long non-coding RNA is filed under the name Sinocyclocheilus grahami. RNAcentral's name for it is "lncRNA (ENSSGRG00000035240.1)". The record is from RNAcentral. Lineage: Eukaryota; Metazoa; Chordata; Actinopteri; Cypriniformes; Cyprinidae.